This 402-nucleotide ribosomal RNA is filed under the name uncultured bacterium. RNAcentral's name for it is "bacterial SSU rRNA". It matches the Rfam family "Bacterial small subunit ribosomal RNA", at positions 350 to 769 of the family's 1533-position model. The record is from RNAcentral.
AGCAGUGGGGAAUCUUAGACAAUGGGCGCAAGCCUGAUCUAGCCAUGCCGCGUGAGCGAUGAAGGCCUUAGGGUCGUAAAGCUCUUUCGCCAGGGAUGAUAAUGACAGUACCUGGUAAAGAAACCCCGGCUAACUCCGUGCCAGCAGCCGCGGUAAUACGGAGGGGGUUAGCGUUGUUCGGAAUUACUGGGCGUAAAGCGCACGUAGGCGGAUCAGAAAGUUGGGGGUGAAAUCCCGGGGCUCAACCCCGGAACUGCCUCCAAAACUCCUGGUCUUGAGUUCGAGAGAGGUGAGUGGAAUUCCGAGUGUAGAGGUGAAAUUCGUAGAUAUUCGGAGGAACACCAGUGGCGAAGGCGGCUCACUGGCUCGAUACUGACGCUGAGGUGCGAAAGUGUGGGGAGC